CGCGCAGGCGGGAUAGCAAGUCAGAGGUGAAAUCCUACAGCUUAACUGUAGAACUGCCUUUGAUACUGUUAUUCUUGAGUUCGGGAGAGAGAGACGGAAUUCCAGGUGUAGUGGUGAAAUACGUAGAUAUCUGGAAGAACACCAGUUGCGAAGGCGGUCUCUUGGUCCGAUACUGACGCUGAGGCGCGAAAGCGUGGGGAGCAAACAGGAUUAGAUACCCUGGUAGUCC
RNAcentral lists this ribosomal RNA (229 nucleotides) under uncultured bacterium. Its description in RNAcentral is "partial 16S ribosomal RNA". It matches the Rfam family "Bacterial small subunit ribosomal RNA", at positions 568 to 796 of the family's 1533-position model. The record is from RNAcentral.